RNAcentral lists this transfer RNA (74 nucleotides) under Candidatus Woesearchaeota archaeon. RNAcentral's name for it is "tRNA-Trp". It matches the Rfam family "tRNA". Rfam says of the family: Transfer RNA (tRNA) molecules are approximately 80 nucleotides in length. Lineage: Archaea; Nanobdellati; Candidatus Woesearchaeota. The record is from RNAcentral.
GGGGGCGUGGUGUAACGGCAGCAUUGACGGCUCCAGACCGUUAGACCCGGGUUCGAAUCCUGGCGUCCCCACCA